UGUAUAUAUAGAAUUGAGCUCCUAUGCUUUUAAAAGUACCAUAUUAUUGGUGCUUGUAGAUUUUUAGCCAUUGGAUUAAGAGAUAUGCGGUUAGGAUGAUGUGAGUCUUCUAGGGUUGAGUGGGUGGUUGGUUGAAUAGUAUAAUCUAAUGGUUGAAAAUGAUUCGAGAAGUAGAUCUAAUGGAAAAAAAACUUACAAGCACCAAAUGCUUUGUG
This 215-nucleotide long non-coding RNA is filed under the name Ananas comosus (pineapple). RNAcentral's name for it is "long non-coding RNA (ACOM_LNC006914)". The record is from RNAcentral. Lineage: Eukaryota; Viridiplantae; Streptophyta; Magnoliopsida; Poales; Bromeliaceae.